CCUACGGGGUGCAGCAGUAGGGAAUAUUGCUCAAUGGGGGAAACCCUGAAGCAGCCACGCCGCGUGGAGGAUGCAGGUUUUAUGAUUGUAAACUCCUUUUGUGCGAGAAGAUAAUGACGGUAUCUCACGAAUUAGCACCGGCUAACUCCGUGCCAGCAGCCGCGGUUAUACGGCGGGAGCACGCAUUACUCUGAAUCACUGGGCGUUAAGAGUGCGUAUGCGGGUUGGUGAGUCAGAUGUGAAAUUCUGGAGCUUAACUACAUAACUGAAUUUGAAACUGUGAGUCUAGAGUGUGGGAGAAGUAGGUGGAAUGCUUGGUGUAGGGGUGAAAUCCGUAGAUAGCAAGAGGAAUACUGAUUGCGAAGGCGGCCUACUGGAACAUUACUGACGCUGAUGCACGAAAGCGUGGGGAGCAAACAGGAUUAGAUACCCGAGUAGUC
Molecule: ribosomal RNA, 440 nt
Filed under: uncultured bacterium
Lineage: Bacteria
Description: partial 16S ribosomal RNA
Rfam family: Bacterial small subunit ribosomal RNA
Source: RNAcentral